ACUUGGGAUGGACUACAGCUCAGGGGCAGAGUAUCUGCUUUAUAUGCAGAAAGUUCCAGGUUCAAUCUCUGGAUCUCCAAGCA
Non-coding RNA from Podarcis lilfordi (Lilford's wall lizard), 83 nucleotides. The record is from the annotation of a GenBank genome assembly. NCBI's taxonomy places the organism in Eukaryota, Metazoa, Chordata, Lepidosauria, Squamata, Lacertidae.